This 497-nucleotide ribosomal RNA is filed under the name uncultured bacterium. Its description in RNAcentral is "partial 16S ribosomal RNA". It matches the Rfam family "Bacterial small subunit ribosomal RNA", at positions 28 to 507 of the family's 1533-position model. The record is from RNAcentral.
GAUGAACGCUGGCGGCGUGCCUAAUACAUGCAAGUCGAGCGAACAGACGAGGAGCUUGCUUCUCUGACGUUAGCGGCGGACGGGUGAGUAACACGUGGAUAACCUACCUAUAAGACUGGGAUAACUUCGGGAAACCGGAGCUAAUACCGGAUAACAUUUUGAACCGCAUGGUUCAACAGUGAAAGACGGUCUUGCUGUCACUUAUAGAUGGAUCCGCGCCGCAUUAGCUAGUUGGUAAGGUAACGGCUUACCAAGGCAACGAUGCGUAGCCGACCUGAGAGGGUGAUCGGCCACACUGGAACUGAGACACGGUCCAGACUCCUACGGGAGGCAGCAGUAGGGAAUCUUCCGCAAUGGGCGAAAGCCUGACGGAGCAACGCCGCGUGAGUGAAGAAGGUCUUCGGAUCGUAAAACUCUGUUAUUAGGGAAGAACAAAUGUGUAAGUAACUAUGCACGUCUUGACGGUACCUAAUCAGAAAGCCACGGCUAACUACGUG